RNA transcript from Macadamia integrifolia, 4397 nucleotides. It is a transcript of the gene named disease resistance protein RPV1-like, with no coding region annotated. Lineage: Eukaryota; Viridiplantae; Streptophyta; Magnoliopsida; Proteales; Proteaceae. The transcript is spliced from 6 exons. The record is from RefSeq and is a predicted model, not a curated record.
AUAAAGUAAUAUUUGGUGGGUAAGGCCCAUCAGCUUUACCCUUUUUUUUUAUUAUUAGUUUUCCUUUUGAUCAUCAAUCUUUUGCUUCCUCUAGUGUUCAGCAAAUAUCUUUCUGUCAUUUGGAGUGUUUUCCUUCUCUGUUUUUCGUACUCUGCAACGUUAAUCCCGAGAACAUAUCAAGUGAUUCAUUUUGUCUCCUGUUUUUUUGUAAAUUGCAAUGGAUCCGAAGCGGACAAGAGAAGGGGAAGGCUCGGCUUCUUCUACUCCUGGCUGGAAUCAUGAUGUGUUCUUAAGUUUUAGAGGCGAAGACACACGCAAGAGUUUCACCGAUCAUCUCUACACUGCUUUAGUUCAAAGAGGAAUCAACACCUUCAGAGACGACAACGAGCUCAAGAGAGGAGAAGAUAUCGCCUCAGAGCUAUUGAAAUCAGUAGAGAAAUCGAGGAUUUCCAUCAUCGUCUUUUCUAGGAAUUAUGCUUCUUCCAGGUGGUGCCUCGAUGAGCUGGUCAAGAUAAUGGAGUGCAGAGAGACGAUCGGCCAAACGGUUCUACCUGUUUUCUAUGAUAUUGAUCCAUCUGAUGUUCGGAAACAGAGUGGGAUCUUCGGAGAAGUAUUUGCGAGGCAAGAAAAGCGUUCCAAACUCGAGAUGGAGAAGAUGGACAGGUGGAGGACAGCUCUCAAAGAAGCAGGGAGUUUGUCAGGGUGGGAUGUACGAAAUGGAUAUGAGUCAAAAUUUAUCCAAAGUAUUGUUGACAAGGUUUUGAGUAGCUUGAAUCAACCACAUUUUCAUGUUGCCCAGUAUCAAGUUGGAUUAGAAACCCGCUUGGAGAAAAUGAAAUCACUGUUAAAUGUCAGAUCAGAUGAUAUUCGCAUCGUAGGGAUAUGUGGCAUGGGGGGCAUCGGUAAGACCACCAUUGCCAAGGCUGUCUUUAACAUAUUCUUACGCAGAUUUGAAGGUUGCAGCUUUCUUGCAAAUGUUAGAGAACUGUCAGGACAACCUAAUGGUUUAAUUCAUUUACAAGAACAACUUCUUUCUGAUAUCCUAAUGGUAGGAAACAUGAAAAUAACCAGUGUAGAUAGAGGUGUCAAUAUGAUCAGUGAAAAACUAUUCUCCAAAAGGGUUCUUGUUGUUCUUGAUGAUGUGGAUCAAUUGACCCAAUUAAAUGCAUUGGCUGGAAGGCGUAGUUGUUUUGGUUUGGGAAGUAGAAUCAUCAUAACAACCAGGGAUGUGCAUUUGUUAAAUAAUGUCAAGGUUGAUGAAAUAUAUAAGAUCACGGAAUUGAAUACAGAGGAAUCUCUUAAGCUCUUUAGUUGGCAUGCCUUCGGAAAUGACCAUCCGACAAAUGAUUAUUUGGAGCUUUCAAAGAGUAUAGUUGGUUAUGUCAAUGGACUUCCUUUAGCUCUUAAGGUUUUGGGUUCUUUUCUAGUUGAUAAAAGUAUAAUUGAAUUCAAGAGUGCAGUAGAGAAAUUGAAAAGAAUUCCUAAUGAUGAAAUUCAAAGGAUACUUAGAAUAAGUUUUGAUGGACUACAUGAUGAUUUGGAGAAAGAUAUGUUCCUUGAUAUUGCAUGUUUCUUUAUUGGGAUGGACAAAGACCAUGUCAUUGGAAUACUGGACAGUUGCGAUUUCUUCCCAGAAAUUGGCAUUAGUGUUCUCAUCCGUAGGUCUCUCAUAACAAUCAAUGAAAAGAAUCAGGUGAUGAUGCAUGAUUUACUUCGAGAUAUGGGAAGGGAAAUUGUUCGUGAAGAAUCUCCAAAGGAGCCUGGAGAACGCAGUAGAUUGUGGUUUCAUGAUGACGCCUACAAUGUGCUAACAAAACAUAAGGGAACAAUGACUGUUGAAGGCCUUACUCUAAACACGGCUGAAAUUAAAGGAGCAGAUCAUAUCAGUAUUGAAGCCUUUACAAAGAUGCAAAGGCUAAGACUACUCCAAAUCAAUCAUGUGCACCUUACUGGAAACUACCAGCACUUUUCAAAGGAGUUGAGAUGGCUAUGUUGGUACGGUUUCCCUUUGAUCUCCAUACCUUCUAACUUUCAUCUUGAGAACCUUGUUAUACUUGACUUGCAAUAUAGCAACAUCAAAUAUCUUUGGAAGGGAAUCAAGUUGCUCAAGAAAUUGAAAGUUCUGAAUCUUAGUCAUUCCCAUGGCCUAACCCAAAUUUCUGACUUGUCUGGACUCACCAUGCUUGAGAAAUUGGUAUUUGAAGAUUGUAGAAGUUUGGUUGGCGUUCACCAUUCCGUUGGACAACUUGAGAGACUUGUUUUUUUAAGUUUAAAAGAUUGUGGAAACCUGAGGAAUCUACCAAACAGCAUAUGUGAGUUGAAAUCUCUUGAAAAUCUCAUUCUUUGUGGUUGCUUAAAACUUGAAAAGUUGCCAGAAGAAUUUGGAAAUAUGAGAUGUUUAAGGGAGCUUAUUGUUGAUGACACUGCAAUACAAGAACUCCCCCUUUCGAUUGGACGCCUGAAGAAUCUCAGAUGCUUAUCUUUAAAUGGAUGUAAGAGAUCAACCUCUAAAGAUUGGAAUCCAUUCAUUUGGUUUUGGAAUUCAUCACCAAGAAAAAAUCCUGAUUCCACCACUCUAUUACCAACUUCUGUCUUGGGUUUAUCCUCUUUAACAACACUAAAUAUGAGAAAUUGCAAUUUGUUGGAAGGUAAAAUUCCUAGUGAGAUCGGGAGUAUGUGCUCAUUGCAACAUUUGGAUAUGAGUGAUAACAAGUUUCUUAGCCUACCAACUAGUAUCAGUCGCCUUUCUCAACUCAAGCGCCUUGAGUUGCGAAAUUGCACAGGGCUUCAAUUUCUUCCAGAACUGCCAUCAUGUUUAGAGACCUUGUAUGCAAGUGGAUGUGAAUCAAUGGAAAGAUUAGUCAGUCCUGGACACUCAUCUUCCUUACAAGAGCUGGUUUUAAGUGAAACUUUUUGGUGUAACCAUCCUGGCAACAUUAGCCACCUUACUCAGCUCAAAUAUCUUGGCUUGGAAAAUUGCACGAGGCUCAAAUCGCUUCCAGAACUUCCAUCAAGUUUAGAGCAAAUAGAAGCAGGUGGUUGCACAUCAUUGGAACGAUUAUCAAAUUUUGAAAGCUUAUCCUCAUUGGCCAGGUUGAAUAUAAACAACAGCAAUAUUCGUACCCUACCAGCUUGCCUUGGUCGGUGUUCUCAGCUCUGGUCCCUUAACGUAAAUGAUUGCUCAAGGCUUCAAGUGCUCCUAGAGCUUCCAUCAAGUUUAAAGUAUUUAUAUGCAGGGGAUUGCACAUUGAUGGAGAGAUUGCCAAAUGUCUCCAACUGUCCUGAGUUGAACCAUUUAUACAUUGAUAAUUGCCACAUGCUAGCUGAAAUUCGAGGCUUUGAGAAUUUGAAGUUCGUACAAACCAUUUAUAUGAAGGGAUGCAACAAUCUGACAAAUAAUUUUAAGAAGAGUCUCAUCCAGGGAUUGUGUGGCCAUGAUAACUUUAACAUAUUUGUUCCUGGAAGCAAGGUUCCGGAUUGGUUCUACCAUCGGAGUAUGGGAUCUUCAAUAUUUUUUGAGGUUCCUCCGCUUCUAGAUAGGAAGAUCCAAGGUUUAACUGUAUGUGCUGUUUGGACAGGCAUUGCAGAAUCAAAGAUCUUUAUGGCAGAAAAUUCUCCUAUUAUUAUUAUUCAUAAUAAAACAAAGGGUCAUGAACAAGUCCGCUCUAUUUAUCCGGAGAAUCAGGCCUUUUGUGAAGAUGAGUUGUGGGUGGCCCAUAUACCACAUACUGACUUGAAAUAUCAGUUAGAGCAAGGGAAUCAAAUAGAAGUUUCAAUAGAAAUAAAGAAACGACACCAAGUGAAUGAGUGUGGAGUCGAUAUAGUGUACGAGCAAGAUGAGAAAUGUUCUCAGCCAUCAGACAGUGAAGCAGUGAUUGGAUGUAGUAGCAGCUCUCAUUUGUAGGCUGUUGAUGAUGUUAUCCACGGAGAUAACUAAUUCAGGUGUUACAAUUGGCUGAGGACUAAGCUUAGUCAAGACAUCUGAAGAUUCGACAGAGUUACUUCAAAUCUUCUCCUUGAAUUUUACAGAAACCAAGUUGAUUGAUCAUGCUUCACAGCUGACCGCCGUGUAAUCUACGUGUGAAGUCGCCAAAGAGGGAUCAACGAGCUUAGGAAAGGAGAAGAUAUCACCUUAGAGAUUCUGAAAGCAAUUGAAAAAUUAAGGAUUUUUAUCAUUGUUUUUUCCAGGAACUAUGCUUCUUCUAGGUGGUGCCUCGAUGAGCUCGUCAAUUUAAUCGAGUGCAGAGAGCUGAUCUGCCAAACGGUUCUGCCUGAUUUCUAUGAUGUUGAUCCUUCAGAUGUUCAGAAACAUAGUGGGGUCUUUGGGGAAGCAUUUGAGAAGCAAGAAGAGCGUUUCAAGGUGGAGAUGAGGUGGUGGAAAGCUGGAGGAGAGCUCU